UACGGAUAUUGGGCGUAAGCGCGCGCAGGCGGUUUCUUAAGUCUGAUGUGAAAGCCCACGGCUCAACCGUGGAGGGUCAUUGGAAACUGGGGAACUUGAGUGCAGAAGAGAAAAGCGGAAUUCCACGUGUAGCGGUGAAAUGCGUAGAGAUGUGGAGGAACACCAGUGGCGAAGGCGGCUUUUUGGUCUGUAACUGACGCUGAGGCGCGAAAGCGUGGGGAGCAGACAGGAUUAGAUACCCUGGUAGUCCACGCCGUAAACGAUGAGUGCUAAGUGUUAGAGGGUUUCCGCCCUUUAGUGCUGCAGCUAACGCAUUACGCACUCCGCCCGGGGAGUACGGUCGCAAGACUGAAACUCAGAGGAAUUGACGGGGGCCCGCACAAGCGGUGGAGCAUGUGGUUUAAUUCGAAGCAACGCGCAGAACCUUACCAGGUCUUGACAUCCUCUGACAACUCUAGAGAUACAGCGUUCCCCUUCGGGGGACAGAGUGACAGGUGGUGCAUGAUUAUCGUCAGCUCGGGUCGUGAUAUGUUGGGUUAAGUCCCGCAACGAGCGCAACCCUUGAUCUGAGUUGCCACCAUUUAGUUGGGCACUCUUACGUGACUGCCGGUGACAUACCGGAGGAAGGUGGUGAUGACGUCAAAUCAUCAUGCCCCUGAUGA
This 662-nucleotide ribosomal RNA is filed under the name Priestia aryabhattai. RNAcentral's name for it is "bacterial SSU rRNA". It matches the Rfam family "Bacterial small subunit ribosomal RNA", at positions 544 to 1207 of the family's 1533-position model. Lineage: Bacteria; Bacillati; Bacillota; Bacilli; Caryophanales; Bacillaceae. The record is from RNAcentral.